AACAAAGAAAACAUUUAAGCCCGCGGUCUCUUCCCCUUGUAAGUCACGUAGCGCAGGUCAGGAAUGGCUUGGCUUCAAAAUGUGGCUUUUUUUUUCCUGCUCCCUCCUUCAGCUGCACUUUUCCCGCGACACACUUCAGUCACAAGAUGAAUGCAGUCAGCUACAGCAUGACAUAGACAAGCUAUAGACAGUUGAGAGAGGAAGAAGUCAGUGGCACCCUCACCUCAGACAAGACAAAGCUAACAAUUGAUAAUGAAAGACACACUUCAGUCACAAGAUGAAUGCAGUCAGCUACAGCAUGACAUAGACAAGCUAUAGACAGUUGAGAGAGGAAGAAGUCAGUGGCACCCUCACCUCAGACAAGACAAAGCUAACAAUUGAUAAUGAAAGCGGUGCCUGAGAAGCGAUGCCUUCACCCACGCAGUUUUCACCACGAUGGAGGAGUGCCCACACUUCCAGGACCUUACUGUUAAGAGGUUCCUGAAGACCCUACUUGAGCACAACCGCCGAGACAUUCUCUCCAAGCUGGAGAAGUUUGUGCGCCUGAGUGAGUCGCUUCAGUGUCUUGGCGAACAUAACAACAUGAGAACAUGAGGGGAGCUGCAAGGAGCCAUCAGGCCUGCACAUGGCACUUCCUCAAUUGAAUGUGUCUACCUAUUUCUACUUAUCCCUAUCCCUAGAUUUGUGUAUCUUCUUUUAAAAUCUCCCUAGUGACUCAGCACUAACAACCUGAUUACUGAGUCUGUUCUUUUCAUCCACCACUCUUUGAGAAUUAGUUCCUUGCACUCUGCUGCUUUGACUGGCCACUACUGCAUGAGCCUGUCUUGACUCCCUGACAUCUCAGUCACUUGAUUCAAAUGUCUGAUUAAUUAGUUAUAAUAAAUCAAUUGGAAGUUUGUUUGAUAAGACUGUGGGCCUGUGUAGCCAUGGAAGAUAUUGACUAUUGAAAUCUUGAGAACACUGUGUUGAAAUCUGUCACAUUG
This is a long non-coding RNA of Scylla paramamosain (green mud crab), 983 nucleotides long. RefSeq lists it as uncharacterized. The transcript is spliced from 4 exons. NCBI's taxonomy places the organism in Eukaryota, Metazoa, Arthropoda, Malacostraca, Decapoda, Portunidae. The record is from RefSeq and is a predicted model, not a curated record.